AUGGAAGCGGCUCCAGUGGGGCCGACCGCCGCCAUGGACGUGGACAAGCUCACCUACGAGAUCUUCUCCAUCCUCGAGAGCAAGUUCCUGUUCGGCUACGACGACCCCAAGCUUCUCUUCGGCGGAGCCUCGCCGCAUACACCGGCAGCGUCUGGGAAGGCGACGCCCCCACGGGCGCAGGCCGGUAAAGUGUGCAUACUGUCGAUCGACGGCGGUGGGCGCGCCGCCGACGGGCUGCUCGCCGGAGCGGCGCUGGUGAGGCUGGAGGCUUCCCUGAGGCGGCGCACCGGUGACCCCAAGGCGCGUCUGGCAGACUUCUUCGACGUGGCCGCGGGCUCUGGCGCCGGCGGCGUGCUGGCGGCCAUGCUCGUGGCCCGCGGCAAGGACGACGCGCGGCCGCUCUACUCCGCGGAGGACGCGCUCGCGUUCCUCGUGCGCAGCCUCCGCCGCGGCUGGUCGCCCUCGUCCGGGAGCCUCCGCGCGCUGCUCCGGCGCCCGGCUGGCGGCGCCGGCUUCCGCAAGGUGUUCGGCGACCUGACACUGCGAGACACGGCGCGGCCGGUGCUCGUCCCGUGCUACGACCUCGCCACGGGGGCGCCGUUCCUUUUCUCCCGCGCCGACGCCGUCGAGAAGCCGGCCUACGACUUCCGCCUGCGAGACGUGUGCGCCGCGACCUGCGCCGGUUCGGACCGGUCCUCCUCGGCGGUGGAGGUGCGGUCGUGCGACGGGUCGACCCGCAUCGUGGCCGUGGGCGGCGGCGUGGCGCUCGGCAACCCCACGGCAGCGGCCAUCACGCACGUGCUCAACAACAAGCGCGAGUUCCCGCUCGCGUCCGGCGUGGAGGACCUGCUGGUGAUCUCCAUCGGCAGCGGCGAGGGCGAGCAGCGCCCCGCGGCCGGCAGCGGCGGCGCGUCGACGUCCGAGAUCGUCAGGAUCGCCGCCGAGGGCGUGUCCGACAUGGUGGACCAAGCGGUGGCCAUGGCGUUCGGACAUAACAUGACAAGCAACUACACCCGCAUCCAGGCGAUGGGGUCGCCGCGGGGCGGCCGAUGCGCGGCGGCGGCGGCGAAGGGGUGCGUGGCGGCGGAGGAGAUGCUGUCGCAGAAGAACGUGGAGUCGGUGCUGUUCCGUGGCAAGAAGCUGGCGGAGCAGACCAACGCGGAGAAGCUGGAGCGGUUCGCGCACGAGCUCGUCAAGGAGCACGACCGCCGGGUCGGCGCCGCCGCCCCCGCCGUCGUCAAGCAGCAGCCGGCGUCCGCGCCCGACAACGCCGCGCCGGCGUCGUACUCGAACCUGGUCAGCCAGAUGUUCACCAGCAUCUUGUAG
This 1326-nucleotide ribosomal RNA is filed under the name Triticum aestivum (bread wheat). RNAcentral describes it as "partial small subunit ribosomal RNA". Lineage: Eukaryota; Viridiplantae; Streptophyta; Magnoliopsida; Poales; Poaceae. The record is from RNAcentral.